GACGAACGCUGGCGGCGUGCUUAACACAUGCAAGUCGAACGGAAAGGCCCUGCUUUUGUGGGGUGCUCGAGUGGCGAACGGGUGAGUAACACGUGAGUAACCUGCCCUUGACUUUGGGAUAACUUCAGGAAACUGGGGCUAAUACCGGAUAGGAGCUCCUGCUGCAUGGUGGGGGUUGGAAAGUUUCGGCGGUUGGGGAUGGACUCGCGGCUUAUCAGCUUGAUGUUGGGGUAGUGGCUUACCAAGGCUUUGACGGGUAGCCGGCCUGAGAGGGUGACCGGCCACAUUGGGACUGAGAUACGGCCCAGACUCCUACGGGAGGCAGCAGUGGGGAAUAUUGCACAAUGGGCGGAAGCCUGAUGCAGCAACGCCGCGUGCGGGAUGACGGCCUUCGGGUUGUAAACCGCUUUCGCCUGUGACGAAGCGUGAGUGACGGUAAUGGGUAAAGAAGCACCGGCUAACUACGUG
This 468-nucleotide ribosomal RNA is filed under the name uncultured bacterium. Its description in RNAcentral is "partial 16S ribosomal RNA". It matches the Rfam family "Bacterial small subunit ribosomal RNA", at positions 28 to 507 of the family's 1533-position model. The record is from RNAcentral.